RNAcentral lists this ribosomal RNA (548 nucleotides) under uncultured bacterium. Its description in RNAcentral is "bacterial SSU rRNA". It matches the Rfam family "Bacterial small subunit ribosomal RNA", at positions 63 to 572 of the family's 1533-position model. The record is from RNAcentral.
CGAACGGGAUUCUUAUAACGGACGCUUCGGUUGAAGUUUAAGAUGAGAGUGGCGAACGGGCGAGUAAUGUAUGAAUAACUUGCCUCUAAGUUCGGGACAGCCCAUGGAAACGUGGAUUAAUACCGGAUGUGCUCAGCAGUGGCAUCACUGCUUAUGUAAAGGUGGGGACCCUUCGGGGCCUGCCGCUUAGAGAUAGAUUCAUAUCGUAUCAGCUUGUUGGUGAGGUAACGGCUCACCAAGGCUUUGACGCGUAGCUGGUCUGAGAGGAUGGUCAGCCGCACUGGGACUGAGACACUGCCCAGACUCCUACGGGAGGCUGCAGUCGAGAAUCAUUCGCAAUGCACGAAAGUGUGACGAUGCGACGCCGCGUGGAGGAUGACGGCCUUCGGGUUGUAAACUCCUGUCAGCAGGGAGCAACACUUCAAUAUCUAAUAGAUGUUGAAUUUGAUAGUACCUGCAGAGGAAGUCACGGCUAACUCUGUGCCAGCAGCCGCGGUAAUACAGAGGUGGCAAGCGUUAAUCGGAAUUACUGGGCGUAAAGGGUCCGC